This 455-nucleotide ribosomal RNA is filed under the name uncultured bacterium. RNAcentral describes it as "bacterial SSU rRNA". It matches the Rfam family "Bacterial small subunit ribosomal RNA", at positions 346 to 793 of the family's 1533-position model. The record is from RNAcentral.
AGGCAGCAGUGGGGGAAUAUUGCACAAUGGGCGCAAGCCUGAUGCAGCCAUGCCGCGUGUAUGAAGAAGGCCUUCGGGUUGUAAAGUACUUUCAGCAGUGAGGAAGGUGGGUAUGUUAAUAGCAUACUCAUUUGACGUUAGCUGCAGAAGAAGCACCGGCUAACUCCGUGCCAGCAGCCGCGGUAAUACGGAGGGUGCGAGCGUUAAUCGGAAUUACUGGGCGUAAAGCGCAUGCAGGUGGUUUGUUAAGUCAGAUGUGAAAGCCCGGGGCUCAACCUCGGAAUUGCAUUUGAAACUGGCAAACUAGAGUACUGUAGAGGGGGUAGAAUUUCAGGUGUAGCGGUGAAAUGCGUAGAGAUCUGAAGGAAUACCGGUGGCGAAGGCGACCCCCUGGACAGAUACUGACACUCAGAUGCGAAAGCGUGGGGAGCAAACAGGAUUAGAUACCCUGGUAG